UAUUAUAUUUAAAACCUUCAACCGGCAGACAUCGAACCUUUUUGGAAAAAUAAUCUUUUAGUUUCCUGCAUGAAACAUACGUUUGAAACUUAGAAACCCCCCGUACAGAUGUGUUGUACCUUUUAUGGUACUAUAAAACUCCCAUACAGUACUAAAUAUGUCCAUAUGGGUAUAUUAUCUAUAAAACUACAUCUCGACUAUUUUAUAAAAGUAGGCUUGUUUCAUGCAAUUUUCUUCAAUCAAGACAUCUUAGAACUCAUCUUAGUGAUUCCUUAUGAAAGAAACACACAAAACACAACACAAG
This 304-nucleotide unclassified non-coding RNA is filed under the name Hevea brasiliensis (rubber tree). The record is from RNAcentral. Lineage: Eukaryota; Viridiplantae; Streptophyta; Magnoliopsida; Malpighiales; Euphorbiaceae.